AGUUUUUUCGGUUGGGGAUGGGCUCGCGGCCUAUCAGUUUGUUGGUGAGGUAAUGGCUCACCAAGACGACGACGGGUAGCCGGCCUGAGAGGGCGACCGGCCACACUGGGACUGAGACACGGCCCAGACUCCUACGGGAGGCAGCAGUGGGGAAUAUUGCACAAUGGGGGAAACCCUGAUGCAGCGACGCAGCGUGCGGGAUGACGGCCUUCGGGUUGUAAACCGCUUUCAGCAGGGAAGAAGCGCAAGUGACGGUACCUGCAGAAGAAGUACCGGCUAACUACGUGCCAGCAGCCGCGGUAAUACGUAGGGUACGAGCGUUGUCCGGAAUUAUUGGGCGUAAAGAGCUCGUAGGUGGUUGGUCACGUCUGCUGUGGAAACGCAACGCUUAACGUUGCGCGUGCAGUGGGUACGGGCUGACUAGAGUGCAGUAGGGGAGUCUGGAAUUCCUGGUGUAGCGGUGAAAUGCGCAGAUAUCAGGAGGAACACCGGUGGCGAAGGCGGGACUCUGGGCUGUAACUGACACUGAGGAGCGAAAGCAUGGGGAGCGAACAGGAUUAGAUACCCUGGUAGUCCAUGCCGUAAACGUUGGGCACUAGGUGUGGGGGGCAUUCCACGUUCUCCGC
This 626-nucleotide ribosomal RNA is filed under the name Brevibacterium sp. RNAcentral's name for it is "bacterial SSU rRNA". It matches the Rfam family "Bacterial small subunit ribosomal RNA", at positions 208 to 844 of the family's 1533-position model. Lineage: Bacteria; Bacillati; Actinomycetota; Actinomycetes; Micrococcales; Brevibacteriaceae. The record is from RNAcentral.